RNAcentral lists this long non-coding RNA (1475 nucleotides) under Lupinus mutabilis. RNAcentral's name for it is "partial ncRNA". Lineage: Eukaryota; Viridiplantae; Streptophyta; Magnoliopsida; Fabales; Fabaceae. The record is from RNAcentral.
GAUCAAAACAACGCCAUAAUACUCCAUCAUAAAUCAUGUUCAUUGACAAAGCAUUGAUCUCUAAAUCCUUCAUAAUCAUUGCGUAUAGUUUUUCUUGGCCUCUAUUUAAGCUACUCUCCUUACUAGGGCUUUUAGCGGUCUCCUCCAUACAUGUCCAAACCACCUAAGGCAGUUCUAACAUCUUAUCUAUAAUUUGAGCCAGUGUUGUGAAAACCGGAUUGUAUUGGCUGGUUCAACUAGAAAACCAAUGAACAAGUCCCCAAACCGGUACAGUACAACAAUUAUACUGGCCAUGCAAUCAUAUCGGGCAAGACUGGCCAAAACCAUUAUACACAGAGCAUAUACAUAUUUAGAUUAAAAUUUAUACCAGUCAUGCAAUUAUUUCUAUAUCAAUGAGGUAAAGGCUAGUGGUUUUACUAAAUUGGGUUACGAGGUGAUCCAAAGAACACAAAACAUAUACAUAUUUACAUUAAAAAUAUGUCAUUCCCACAGACAAAUGACAAAGACCCAUUAGUUGAAGAAAAACCCACUGUUACUAUAGUUUCAGAAGUAUUGGUUAAUCCAUUGAGAUUUAAUUUGUUAUCCUUAGAAGCAGAACCCUAAGAUACCAUAUGGUAAAGUGCUUCCACCCAAACUACAUGUGUGCCUGUGUUUUUAUGCAUGUAUGUUUAUAUAGCUUUCAUGUGAAAGUUCACUUAAUUCUUUUAUUGAUUUACUGUGUUCAUGUAACUUGUAUUUGGCAGUUGAACGGUUCUCUCUCGGAGUAAGAAACCCUACAGCUUUCCUAGCAGGCGCCUUGGUUAGUGAUUGAAAUUGUUUCAUGUGCUAGCAAAAGUAUAUGGUUUGUGUUUAUUAGUGUCCAUGCUUAACUGUUUGUGUUCUCGUUUUUUUGUUUUCGUACAUGGUUAUUGCCUGACGAUAACCGAUUUCUAUUUAUCAUUAAUUUGGUUCUUUAGAGGAAGGAGUAUAACAACUGCUACCUUUUUUCAAAUGCAGGGUAUUUCUCCAGAGUGUUUUUUUGCAGGGGUCUGUUUUGGGGGUCUAUUCACACUUCCCAUUCAGCUUGGAAUAGGAUUCCUUUUGAGGGAAAACCCGAUAUUUGCCGUUGCCACUGUCGCAACUGUAGUGGGAAUUUGGACUCUUUUUCCAUACGCGAUGGCUGCAUCGACUGCAUUAUUCUUGUAUUUCCGGCGGCAAUACUUCUCGUAGUCAUUGGAAUGCUUGGUAGAAGAAAUACUUAAAGGUUCCUGAUUUGUAUAUGCAGAUAAGUGACAUGUUCAAGUUAAUUCAACCAUUUAUUGAAUCUUUUUCUACUUAUAUACAAAGAGAAAAUCAGUUAUAGAAUUAGGGAACUUGAGUGUUGUACCAGAGUGGCUAGUAGCUCUUAUUCUUUUGUAAAGGUGGAAUAAUUUGAUAAUAAUUCCCUUCUGGAUAUUUGAUUUUAUAUAAAUAUUUCCACUAUUUGGUAAUAAAAU